CUGCCNAGUGAAAAUUAUUUAACGGCCGCGGUAUCCUAACCGUGCAAAGGUAGCAUAAUCACUUGCCUAUUAAUUGUAGGCUAGAAUGAACGGAUAAACGAAAUAAAAACUGUCUCAAUUAGUCACAUAAAAAUUAUUCUCUAUAUGAAGAAAAAUAGAUAAAUUCGAAGGACAAGAAGACCCUAUAGAGCUUUAUUUAUAUCAUAAAUUCAAAUUAUGAAAAAAUUCGGUUGGGGCGACCAAGGGAACAAAUAUCACCCUAUAAAACACAGAUACAUAAAUCAAUUAAUUGACCCUUUAAAGAUCAUAAAAUCAAGCUACCUUAGGGAUAACAGGCUAAUCCUAUUUAAGAGUUCAUAUCAACAAUAGGGUUUGGCACCUCGAUGUUGGCUUAGGGUAUCAACAUAGCGCAAAAGUUAUGCAUAGAUGGUUUGUUCAACCCAAUAAC
RNAcentral lists this ribosomal RNA (448 nucleotides) under Pontodrilus sp. WM19. Its description in RNAcentral is "partial 16S ribosomal RNA". It matches the Rfam family "Bacterial large subunit ribosomal RNA", at positions 1859 to 2594 of the family's 2925-position model. Lineage: Eukaryota; Metazoa; Annelida; Clitellata; Crassiclitellata; Megascolecidae. The record is from RNAcentral.